GACGGAGGGUGCUAGCGUUGUUCGGAAUUACUGGGCGUAAAGCGCACGUAGGCGGAUACUUAAGUCAGGGGUGAAAUCCCGGGGCUCAACCCCGGAACUGCCUUUGAUACUGGGUAUCUCGAGUCCGGAAGAGGUGAGUGGAAUUCCGAGUGUAGAGGUGAAAUUCGUAGAUAUUCGGAGGAACACCAGUGGCGAAGGCGGCUCACUGGUCCGGUACUGACGCUGAGGUGCGAAAGCGUGGGGAGCAAACAGG
This 253-nucleotide ribosomal RNA is filed under the name uncultured bacterium. RNAcentral's name for it is "partial 16S ribosomal RNA". It matches the Rfam family "Bacterial small subunit ribosomal RNA", at positions 524 to 776 of the family's 1533-position model. The record is from RNAcentral.